RNAcentral lists this long non-coding RNA (3180 nucleotides) under Sus scrofa (pig). RNAcentral describes it as "lncRNA (ENSSSCG00060009390.1)". Lineage: Eukaryota; Metazoa; Chordata; Mammalia; Artiodactyla; Suidae. The record is from RNAcentral.
GAGGACACAGGUUCUAUCCCUGGCCUCACUCAGUGGAUUGAGGAUUUGGGAUUGCUGUGAGCUGUGGUGUAGGUUGCAGGUGAGGCUUGGAUCUGGCAUUGCCGUGGCUGUGGCAAAUGCCAGCAGCUACAGCUCUGAUUCAAACCCUUGCCUGGGAAACUCUAUAUGCCGCAGGUGCAGCCCUAGAAAGACAAAAAAAAAAAAAAAAAAAANAAGAAGAAAAGAAAAAAAAAAAAAGAAGAAAAGAAAAAAAAAGGCAGAACAAUGGCUUUUCUAAUCGUUCCAGCAGUCCCUACUGUUAGCUUAGCCAACUUAUAUCUCCCUAGACCAACCUUCUACAGGCUAAGGCAGUCCCUGGGGAAUGGGGAGGAGAGAUGUCUGUGUGGGAGAAGGGUCUGUGUUGGCUCUAACUUUGUCUUAUCUCUGGUCCGUGGUCCUGAAGACUCAGGUCCUAUCCCAUAAUCCUACUAACCUCCUAUGUGCCCCUCCUAGCUCUCCCAGGAACCCCUAAGCACAGGGAAAAGGGAGAUACCCUCCCUGAGGAACCAGGUGAGUGCAGCUCCUCCUCUGGGGGCUCAGUGACGCCCCACCUUGUGCAUCAGAAGUGGCUUGUGUGAGUUCUGCUGGGAGCACAGGAGAGGGAGGGGGGCAGUGGGAGGAGGGCAGGGGCUCAAAUCUCUUGGUCAGUUCUGAGACUAACUCCUGGGCUUAAGGAGGACCUCACUGGAGAUGGGGAGAAGAUAUGAACACCUGUCCAAGAUAGAGAGGGGAGGGCCUUGUCCGAGUUUCUGGGGUUAGACCAGCUGGAUAUUUCCAGAGCAGGACAUCAGAGAUAUUUAGGUCUUUCCAUGGAAACUUGGAAGGGCUGGCACAGGACAGGGGUUAGAAAUUGUAAGACUGAGGCAAAUAGAAUUGAGGGGAUAAGAUUCUAGGAGGAAAGGAGAGGGAGGCCAAAGGAAUAAACCCUAGAUUUGCAGCAGAGUGUCCCUCUGUGGAGUGACAGGGAAAGGGUAACCGAGCUCAGCUCUUAGUGGAACAUUAAGGGCAGAUUUUUGGCUUAAGAAAGUGCUGGGGUACUAGGUGCAUUAGUGGUCUUUACUCUGUGGGCAAAGCUUGGCUCUAAUGCCCACUUGUGUAGGUUUAUUACAUGCAGGCCUGGCACUAGCCCUGUCACCAUUGUAUAAUGGAAUCCUUAGUGUCAUUCCUCAUCCUGAGGUUUAGUCACCUCUCGGGGGCAAAUGAGUAGGUUGGCCUGGAGGACCUCUGAGUCCUUUCAGGUCUGACAUUCUGAGGGUCAGUAACCAUCCAGCUCCUGGCCCAGCUGGGAGUAUGUUAAAGGAACAGGAGUAUUCCAGGCAAUUUCCUGACUGUAGGUAAAGCCAGAGCAUAAGGAAACCUGGAGCUUUCUCUGGAAGCUCCCAGACAGCAGAAAUGGACAGGAAAAAGAAGCCUUUGAGGACGCCACCUCUGAUGGCUGGAGUAUGACUCAGAACAGAGCCAACAGCUUUGAGAGCUUGAGCAAAAUGGCCCAGCUGCCUAGCUGCGCUUAGCGCAAAGUCCCUAUGUCCCUUGGCCAGCCCAAGUGGGGAUGUGGACCUGAGUUUGCACCAGGACAAAACCAAUGUAGAAACAAAUCCAAACACAAGUGGACUAACACCUUUGAUGUUUGGUUCUACCUGGCAUAAAUGUAUUUCACCAGGCAUUUAUUUCACAAGAAGGCACUGGGAUUGAUGGUCUCUCAAAAAGCACAACUAGUUUGCUGGGAUUGUUGAGGGAUACAUUAGAAGGAGAAUUCAGGGCAUGGUUUGUUCCAGAAUGUGGAGCGUGGGACACAGAAACUCCUUAUGUCCUGGAGAUGAAUGAAGACACUAGAUGCAUUGUCUCAGACUCCUUCCCCACUUCUUAAGGAAUGCUGCUUUGCAGAUACUGAGGCUGCUUUUUGCACUGGCAAAGUGAGUUUAUUGGCAAAAACAUGAGGAAAUUUGGAUGUGCUUUAGGUGUUAACCAGGGAGAAUAUUCGCUGGCUGGCUUGCUUGCUUCCUUCUCUCCUUCCUUCCAGCCUCCCUUGCUCACUCUCAUUCUCAUGCUUUUUUUCUUCUUGAGGUCAGUGAGUAUCAGGGUCUUCAAAAUUCCAACAAAGAUAUAUUACAUCUGGCUAAUAUGGAAAGGCCACAACUAUGGCUGGCAAAAAUCUGGAUUACUUCACCCUAAUACUGAACACCCCCCAUCUCUUCCCCAAGAUCUCAGAUCCCUAAAGCUGCCUGGUUUGCUCUGAGGAAAACUCAGUGAUUCUCUGAAAAAAAGAAUGCAACACCAGUGACUACUUCCUUUUAUCAGUGUGGCCAGUGGGAGAGGCCAUGUCUAGGAUACUGAGGGUGGGUGGGAAAUGGAGCUCUUGGCCUACAGGCCUGAGUUGGAGUCAGUGGUCCUUGCCUCAAGCCUGGUUUGGGUCUCAGCAGCAGCAUGGGUAGGCCCUAUUCCAUAGCAGUGCCCUGGCUGAUCACUGUUUUUUUGCCCACAGCCAAUCACACUGAUGCUGAAGAGGCUGCCAAAAUUGAGGUGAGCCAUGCCAGCCUCCUGCUUUUUCUUCUCCUUCCUACCCCUCCCUGCCUCCUCUUUUGUUGCCUCCAUUCCUGUGACCUCUCUAUGGAUCCCCCUUACUCCUUUCUGCUUUCUCUAGGCUGAGGAUACAAUCACCUAUUCACUUCUCUUGCAUCCGGAAGCUGCAGAAGGAGAAGCAGAGGCUUCAGAUUACCAGAACCACAUUUAAAUUUCAUUAUCUUGCCUGGGACUUGGGGAAGAGAAUAAGGAUUUGGUGUUUUCUGCCCUGAAUUCCUCUUAGGGAGGAGAAGAGAAUUUCGCAGUUGCAAAGGAAAACGACCCCUCCAGAGUUAUCUACAUGAAUCCUGAAGCUCCCUUUUCUGAAAGCCACAGACAAUACCUUCUCAGAUAACUGACCUGCUGAUUUCUUCUGUGCCUCAGCACUUCUCACCAUUAGGACUCUUCUGUUAGACUUCCACACAGCCAGUGAAAAUUACUUUUAAUAAGAGAUUGUAGCAACACAGGAAAUACUUAUGUUACAGAUGACAUGAGAAAAAUUAUAUAAAUAUACAUGAUUUCAGAAAUGUUGAAACAGACUAACAUAUGCCAAUAUAUUAAAAGCAAUUGUUUCAGGGUGAU